GGGCACGCCGCGUGUGUGAAGAAGGCUUUCGGAUCGUAAAGCUCUGUUGUAUGAGAAGAACGGCUGUGAUAGUGAAUGAUUCUAGUUGUGCCGGUCCCUAACCGAAAGGGGCCGGUUAAUUCCUGCCCACCACCCCGGUAAUUCCUUUGUUCCGAACCUUUGUCCGAAUUAUUGGGCCUAAAGCCAACCCCAAGCGGUUAUUAAAUUUGAAGUUAAAGCGCGGAGCUUAACUCCGGAAUGGCUUUGGAAACUGGUUAACUUGAGUGCUGAAGAGGAAAGUGGAACUCCAUGUGUAGCGGUGAAAUGCGUAGAUAUAUGGAAGA
Molecule: ribosomal RNA, 323 nt
Filed under: uncultured bacterium
Lineage: Bacteria
Description: bacterial SSU rRNA
Rfam family: Bacterial small subunit ribosomal RNA
Source: RNAcentral